Molecule: ribosomal RNA, 301 nt
Filed under: uncultured bacterium
Lineage: Bacteria
Description: partial 16S ribosomal RNA
Rfam family: Bacterial small subunit ribosomal RNA
Source: RNAcentral
CAGUAGCCGCGGUAAUACGAAGGGGGCUAGCGUUACUCGGAAUUACUGGGCGUAAAGGGCGCGUAGGCGGCGCUCCAAGUUAGGCGUGAAAGUCCUGGGCUCAACCUGGGAACUGCGCUUAAGACUGGAGUGCUUGAGGAUGGAAGAGGGUUGUGGAAUUCCCAGUGUAGAGGUGAAAUUCGUAGAUAUUGGGAAGAACACCGGUGGCGAAGGCGGCAACCUGGUCCAUUACUGACGCUGAGGCGCGACAGCGUGGGGAGCAAACAGGAUUAGAUACCCCGGUAGUCCCUGUCUCUUAUAC